This 331-nucleotide unclassified non-coding RNA is filed under the name Hevea brasiliensis (rubber tree). The record is from RNAcentral. Lineage: Eukaryota; Viridiplantae; Streptophyta; Magnoliopsida; Malpighiales; Euphorbiaceae.
UGAUAGCUCAAUAUAUAAAAAUAUUAAUCUUCAAGAGAAAAAUUGGGAAUUGAUUUUUAAAAUAUCAUUUUAGAUAAAAUGCUAUUUUAAUUAAUUAAUUACUAAUAAUUAAUACAUAUGAUGCUAAUUAAUCCAAGCAAGCUGUGGAUUCCCAUAAUCAUUCUAAUAUAAAGAGAGGAGAAGAGGAGCAAUCCAAAUAUUAGACUCCGACAGGCUGAGGUGGCGCAGGAGGCAGAGGAGGAGGUGAAGGAGGAGAAGCAGCCACUGCAGUCACCGGUACAGCAGCUUCUUGACGGCGGUGUGUAUUCUUGUUGUUAUGCAUCCAAACCUU